This 1005-nucleotide long non-coding RNA is filed under the name Salmo trutta (river trout). RNAcentral's name for it is "lncRNA (ENSSTUG00000005396.1)". The record is from RNAcentral. Lineage: Eukaryota; Metazoa; Chordata; Actinopteri; Salmoniformes; Salmonidae.
AUGAACACAUACACACACUGCAUACACACACUGCAUACACACAAUACAUACAGACACUGCAUGCACACACUGCGUACAGACACAAUUAAACAUACAUGCACACACUGCAUACACACACUACAUACACACACUGCAUACACACACUACAUACACACACUGCAUACACACACUGCAUACAGACACUACAUACACACACUGCAUACAGACACUGCAUACAGACACUGCAUACACACACUGCAUACAGACACUACAUACACACACUGCAAACACACACUACAUACACACACUGCAUACACACACUGCAUACACACACUGCAUACACACAAUACAUACAGACACUGCAUACACACACUACAUACACACACUGCAUACACACACUGCGUACAGACACAAUUAAACAUACAUGCACACACUGCAUACACACACUACAUACACACACUGCAUACACACACUACAUACACACACUGCAUACACACACUGCAUACAGACACUACAUACACACACUGCAUACAGACACUGCAUACAGACACUGCAUACACACACUGCAUACAGACACUACAUACACACACUGCAAACACACACUACAUACACACACUGCAUACACACACUGCAUACACACACUGCAUACACACAAUACAUACAGACACUGCAUACACACACUACAUACACACACUGCAUACACACACUGCAUACAGACACUACAUACACACACUGCAUACACACACUGCAUACACACACUGCAUACACACACUGCAUACACACACUGCAUACACACACUGUAUACACACACUGCAUACACACAAUACAUACAGACACUGCAUACACACACUGCGUACAGACACAAUUAAACAUACAUGCACACACUGCAUACAGACACUGCAUACACACACUGCAUACACACACUGCAUACAGACACUACAUACACACACUGCAUACACACACUGCAUACAGACACUACAUACACCUGUGGCGGCAGGUACCUUACUGGUUAGAGCGUUGGACUAG